RNAcentral lists this ribosomal RNA (328 nucleotides) under uncultured eukaryote. Its description in RNAcentral is "partial 18S ribosomal RNA". It matches the Rfam family "Eukaryotic small subunit ribosomal RNA", at positions 1470 to 1796 of the family's 1831-position model. The record is from RNAcentral.
CCCUUAGAUGUCCUGGGCCGCACGCGCGCUACACUGAUGCAUGCAACGAGUUUAUAACCUUGGCCUGAAAGGUCUGGGCAAUCUUUUGAACGUGCAUCGUGAUAGGGAUAGAUUAUUGCAAUUGUUAAUCUUGAACGAGGAAUUCCUAGUAAACGCGAGUCAUCAGCUCGCAUUGAUUACGUCCCUGCCCUUUGUACACACCGCCCGUCGCACCUACCGAUUGAAUGGUUCGGUGAAGAUCUCGGACUUCGAUAUUUAUUCUUUAUUGAGUUUAUAUUGUGGGAAGUUAUCUAAACCUCAUCAUUUAGAGGAAGGUGAAGUCGUAACA